This 487-nucleotide ribosomal RNA is filed under the name uncultured bacterium. RNAcentral's name for it is "bacterial SSU rRNA". It matches the Rfam family "Bacterial small subunit ribosomal RNA", at positions 501 to 987 of the family's 1533-position model. The record is from RNAcentral.
CUACGUGCCAGCAGCCGCGGUAAUACGUAGGUGGCAAGCGUUGUCCGGAAUUAUUGGGCGUAAAGCGCGCGCAGGCGGAUCAGUCAGUCUGUCUUAAAAGUUCGGGGCUUAACCCCGUGAUGGGAUGGAAACUGCUGAUCUAGAGUAUCGGAGAGGAAAGUGGAAUUCCUAGUGUAGCGGUGAAAUGSGUAGAUAUUAGGAAGAACACCAGUGGCGAAGGCGACUUUCUGGACGAAAACUGACGCUGAGGCGCGAAAGCCAGGGGAGCGAACGGGAUUAGAUACCCCGGUAGUCCUGGCCGUAAACGAUGGGUACUAGGUGUAGGAGGUAUCGACCCCUUCUGUGCCGGAGUUAACGCAAUAAGUACCCCGCCUGGGGAGUACGACCGCAAGGUUGAAACUCAAAGGAAUUGACGGGGGCCCGCACAAGCGGUGGAGUAUGUGGUUUAAUUCGACGCAACGCGAAGAACCUUACCAGGUCUUGACAU